CCUUGGCUGUUAAUAUGCUUCUUCUUCUUUGGUGUUUCUUCAAAUCCUUGUUAUAUUUGUGAGAACUCUUCUUUCCCAUCUAGAGGCUCAGGGAGUCAUUGGAAUGCUAGAGGCUUGCUUUCUUGUUGGCUAUUUAUCCCGAAUCUCUGCACCUUUUAUCUGAUCUACUAGAUGGAGGAGCUUUGGCAUAAUAUGUGCUACGGGGUUGCUCCUACAUUGAUCAUUAUGUUGACCCUGGAAUUGAUUUUGAUAAUAAC
This 257-nucleotide long non-coding RNA is filed under the name Elaeis guineensis (African oil palm). Its description in RNAcentral is "long non-coding RNA (EGUI_LNC029415)". The record is from RNAcentral. Lineage: Eukaryota; Viridiplantae; Streptophyta; Magnoliopsida; Arecales; Arecaceae.